AGAUACUUGUCAACAGUAAUAUCAUGGUGCAGAAGACUGACGCAGACUAGUCAGAGAGAGAUGCCCACUUGUUCUGUUCUUGAAGAAAAUUGGUGUGUGGCUUCUGAACUUGAAAAGAUACAGAAGUUUAACUUGUUACUGGAGAAUAGUGGUGUCCUAAACCAGAUUUCUAACAAGAAAAAUGAACAGUCUUUUGAUUGUAAACCAAACUAUUCAGAAAGCUUGCUAGAAGAAGUUAAUGAAAAGAGAGUAUCAGUGGCAUUGAAAAGAACCUCUGAAAUUAUUCAGGAUAUUGAUUGUCUUCUAUCAAGCUCUAAAAAGUGA
Long non-coding RNA from Myotis lucifugus (little brown bat), 324 nucleotides. RefSeq lists it as uncharacterized. The transcript is spliced from 3 exons. The record is from RefSeq and is a predicted model, not a curated record. NCBI's taxonomy places the organism in Eukaryota, Metazoa, Chordata, Mammalia, Chiroptera, Vespertilionidae.